RNAcentral lists this ribosomal RNA (466 nucleotides) under uncultured bacterium. RNAcentral describes it as "bacterial SSU rRNA". It matches the Rfam family "Bacterial small subunit ribosomal RNA", at positions 329 to 792 of the family's 1533-position model. The record is from RNAcentral.
UACCAGACUCCUACGGGAGGCAGCAGUGAGGAAUAUUGGUCAAUGGGCUUACGCCUGAACCAGCCAAGUCGCGUGAGGGAAGACUGCCCUAUGGGUUGUAAACCCCUUUUGUCAGGGAGCAAUUGGCGCUACGUGUAGCGUUAUCGAGAGUACCUGAGGAAAAAGCAUCGGCUAACUCCGUGCCAGCAGCCGCGGUAAUACGGAGGAUGCGAGCGUUAUCCGGAUUUAUUGGGUUUAAAGGGUGCGUAGGCGGAUUUGUAAGUCAGCGGUAAAAAUGCGGUGCUCAACGCCGUAUCGCCGUUGAAACUGCAGGUCUUGAGUGAGCGAGAAGUAUGCGGAAUGCGUGGUGUAGCGGUGAAAUGCAUAGAUAUCACGCAGAACUCCGAUUGCGAAGGCAGCAUACCGGCGCUCAACUGACGCUGAGGCACGAAAGCGUGGGGAUCGAACAGGAUUAGAUACCCGGGUA